UACAGAGGUCUCAAGCGUUGUUCGGAUUCAUUGGGCGUAAAGGGUGCGUAGGCGGCGCGGUAAGUCGGGUGUGAAAUCUCGGGGCUUAACUCCGAAACUGCAUUCGAUACUGCCGUGCUUGAGGACUGGAGAGGAGACUGGAAUUUACGGUGUAGCGGUGAAAUGCGUAGAUAUCAGGAGGAACACCGAUGGCGAAGGCAGGUCUCUGGGCUGACACUGACGCUCAUGCACGAAAGCGUGGGGAGCAAACAGG
RNAcentral lists this ribosomal RNA (253 nucleotides) under uncultured bacterium. RNAcentral describes it as "partial 16S ribosomal RNA". It matches the Rfam family "Bacterial small subunit ribosomal RNA", at positions 524 to 776 of the family's 1533-position model. The record is from RNAcentral.